Pezoporus occidentalis (night parrot) is the source of this 875-nucleotide long non-coding RNA. RefSeq lists it as uncharacterized. The transcript is spliced from 3 exons. Lineage: Eukaryota; Metazoa; Chordata; Aves; Psittaciformes; Psittacidae. The record is from RefSeq and is a predicted model, not a curated record.
UGGUAAGUUUAUACUGUUAUACCCUUGCAUAUUUCUUUCAUUUAAUGUUUUGAUUUGAGAACAAUUUUCUUUCUUCACGGUUAAUAUUUCCAGCAAAAGCAGUUCUCCUGAAGGGUUCAUAUUUCUGGGACUGGUUCCUUAAACUUGUUUUGUAGCUCAUGUCUGGGUCUCAAAUCCAUGCCCUCUGUCAUCUUGCUCCUGACCUCAUCAGAUUCCUGCUCAGCUCUUCUGUUUCUGAUUCUCACCUUGAUGAUAGAUGUUUGCAUGAUAUUUAAAUAGGACUAAUUUUCAACAGUUUAAAGAUCAGGUUUCUCAGACCUGAGAGUGAUGGCAUCUUUGUGUUCUCCGUUCCUUUAGGCCAUUGCUCCAGCAAUUCUAAGCUCCUCCUGGUGUUACUGUAAAUUAUUCACUCUGCUUAAAAUAUUGAACCAGCCAAGGACAACGGGACAGGCUGGUCAAUAAUCCAUUUCACAGACUUGCUUCUUGUUUUUAUAUUUUGAAUGCUGUACUAGUUUAAAUGACAUUGCUGUUCAUGUGUAUUGCAGGCUUUUGAUUUAUUAACACUGUAAAUGAGAGCAGCAGUUAACCCCUUGCGCUAUUCUGACCCUUGACAAGCAAGCAUUCGCCAUGCACUGUGCAAUGGCAGAAAGGCUGCUUCACAGUUGUAGCAGGGAAGUGUUUCUUUGAAAAUGGGAGUCCUCAGAUAAUAAAUUGGAAGGAUAUAUCAUCAGAAGCUAAACUCUUGCAUUAAAAUAAGGCAUAUUUUACUUUUGUUCAGCUGUCAAACUAUGCAUUUAUUUGCUCCAUUAUAAACUUGUUCCAGCUUUACAUGCCAUCAACACAUAUCCAUAAAUCGCUGGCAAGCCUGAUUUCCA